GCUGGGCACUGUGGCUCAUACCUGUAAUCCCAGCAGCUUGGAGGCUGAGAUAGGAGAGUUGCAAGUUUAAAGCCAACCUCAGCAACAGCAAGGUGCUAAGCAACUCAGUGAGAUCCUGUCUCUA
RNAcentral lists this small RNA (124 nucleotides) under Marmota monax (woodchuck). The record is from RNAcentral. Lineage: Eukaryota; Metazoa; Chordata; Mammalia; Rodentia; Sciuridae.